RNAcentral lists this unclassified non-coding RNA (294 nucleotides) under Hevea brasiliensis (rubber tree). The record is from RNAcentral. Lineage: Eukaryota; Viridiplantae; Streptophyta; Magnoliopsida; Malpighiales; Euphorbiaceae.
AUUCUUUCCUUUGAAUCGCUUGGCUUCGGGUUCAUUUUCAUCAUCAUCUCCUCCUGAAUUGCUAAUGGGCGAACUUUGGUCAAAUUCAUCGUCUCCAAUCGAAAUUGAAGAAUCCUCCUGUACGGUGACAGAUUCCAAUGGAGAAACCGAUUGAUCCGAGAUUUCUGAGCUGACUCCGGCAGAAGGUGGCAUCGAUUGAGAGGUUGAUCUUGUAGACUGAGGUUUGGGAUGGUUGUGACUUCCCUUAUAGACUAUUUCAGUAAUUUGUCCAUCCAAAGAUCUCUCUACCUUUUU